Molecule: non-coding RNA, 410 nt
Organism: Odocoileus virginianus texanus
Lineage: Eukaryota; Metazoa; Chordata; Mammalia; Artiodactyla; Cervidae
Source: the annotation of a RefSeq genome assembly
CCAGCCAGCAGCAGCCUUGGGUUCCUGAUGCUGCCAUGGGCGCCAGGCUACUCUGCGGUGUGACUCUCUGCCUCCUGGGAGCAGGCCUGGUGGAUUCUGGAGUCACCCAGACCCCCAAGUACCUGAUCAAAUCAAGAAAGCAGCAAGUGACGCUGAGAUGUUCCCCUGACUCUGGACACCGCUCCGUGAACUGGUACCAGCAGGCCCUGGGCCAGGGCCCCCGGUUCCUCAUUCAGUAUUACCGCGGACAAGUUAAUGGAGAAGGAAACAUGCCAGAUCGAUUCUCAGGAAAACAGUUCAGUGAUUUUCACUCAGAGCUGAACCUGAGCUCCUUGGAGCUGACAGACUCAGCUGUGUAUCUCUGUGCCAGCAGCCAAGACACAGCCCUGCAUGACCAGGUGCAAAGGUAG